AGGGCGUACGGUGGAUGCCUAGGCACUUGAAACUGAAGAAGGACGCAACAAACGGCGAAACGCGGCGGGGAGCUGUACGUAAGCAAAGAUCCGCCGGUAUCCGAAUGGGGGAACCCGGCAUGCGUAAUAGCAUGUCAUCCGCAGAUGAACAAAUAGUCUGCGAGAGAGGUACCCGGGGAACUGAAACAUCUAAGUACCCGGAGGAAAAGAAAACAACAGUGAUUCCCUGAGUAGCGGCGAGCGAAAGGGGAGGAGCCCAAACCAGACCGAGGUCUGGGGUUGAAGGACCGCGAUACGGCAAGAAUCAUGGUAGGAGAACGGCAUUGAAAGGCCGACCGGAGAGGGUGCAAGUCCCGUAUCCGAAACCGUGAGGAAGCCCAGCGGGAUCCUGAGUACGGCGAGACACGAGAAAUCUUGUCGGAAGCAGGCGGGACCAUCCGUCAAGGCUAAAUAUAAGCAAGUGACCGAUAGUGAACCAGUACCGUGAGGGAAAGGUGAAAAGAACCGCGGGAGCGGAGUGAAACAGAACCUGAAACCGUAUGCUUACAAGAAGUCAGAGCACGUUAAGGUGUGAUGGCGUGCCUUUUGUAGAAUGAACCGGCGAGUUAUGUUAUCGUGCGAGGUUAAGCAGGAGAUGCGGAGCCGAAGCGAAAGCGAGUCUUAAGAGGGCGGCAGUACGAUGACAUAGACCCGAAACCGUGUGAUCUAGCCAUGACCAGGUUGAAGUUCAGGUGAAACUGAAUGGAGGACCGAACCGACCCCCGUUGAAAAGUUGGCGGAUGAGUUGUGGCUAGGGGAGAAAUUCCAAUCGAACACGGAUAUAGCUGGUUCUCCCCGAAAUAGCUUUAGGGCUAGCGUCGAGGAUGAGUCUUGUGGAGGUAGAGCACUGAAUGUACGAUGGCCCCAUCCCGGGGUACUGAGUAUAAUCAAACUCCGAAUGCCAUGAGAUAUUCCCGGCAGUCAGACCGUGGGUGAUAAGGUCCAUGGUCAAAAGGGAAACAGCCCAGACCGCCAGUUAAGGUCCCAAAAUGUAUGCUAAGUGGAAAAGGAUGUGGGGAUGCACAGACAACUAGGAGGUUGGCUCAGAAGCAGCCAUCCUUCAAAGAGUGCGUAACAGCUCACUAGUCGAGUGACCCUGCGCCGAAAAUGUACCGGGGCUAAGCAUACUACCGAAGCUGCGGAUUUGUAGUAAUACAAGUGGUAGGGGAGCGUUCCAUGCACGUGGAAGCCAUACCGAAAGGAGUGGUGGAGAGCAUGGAAGUGAGAAUGCCGGUGUGAGUAGCGAGAUGCAGGUGAGAAUCCUGCACACCGAUAGCCCAAGGAUUCCAGGGGAAGGUUCGUCCGCCCUGGGUAAGUCGGGACCUAAGGCGAGGCCGAAAGGCGUAGUCGAUGGAAAACAGGCAGAUAUUCCUGUACCCGCGAUGGAAAUGAAGGAAUGACGGAGAAGGCUAGCAUGAGCCACUUAUUGGAUUGUGGUCGAAGCGAAUAGCAGGUGCAUAGUAAAAUGCGUGCACGGAAUGUAAAACGUGAUAGGUAAGCGAAACCUUUGGGGAGUAGCGAAGCAUGCGAGGCCAGCUUCCAGGAAAAGUUUCUAGUGCUGAUUCCAUAGCGGCCCGUACCAAAACCGACACAGGUGGGCAAGGAGAGUAUCCUGAGGUGAGCGAGAGAACUGUUGCCAAGGAACUCGGCAAAAUGACUCCGUAAGUUAGCGAGAAGGAGUGCUUAUGAAAGUAAGCCGCAGUGAAGAGGCCCAAGCGACUGUUUAACUAAAACACAGCUCUCUGCGAAGUCGCAAGACGAAGUAUAGGGGGUGACGCCUGCCCGGUGCUGGAAGGUUAAGAGGAUUUGUCAGUUUCGACGAAGCAAUGAAUUGAAGCCCCAGUGAACGGCGGCCGUAACUAUAACGGUCCUAAGGUAGCGAAAUUCCUUGUCAGGUAAGUUCUGACCCGCACGAAAGGCGUAACGAUUUGGGCGCUGUCUCGGCAGCAGACUCGGUGAAAUCUUAGUACCUGUGAAAAUGCAGGUUACCCGCAACUAGACGGAAAGACCCCAUGGAGCUUUACUGCAGCCUGAUAUUGGAUUUUGAUCAGAGAUGUACAGGAUAGGUGGGAGACGAAGAAGGAUGCACGCCAGUGUAUCUGGAGUCGACGUUGGGAUACCACUCUUGUCUGAUUGGAGUUCUAACCUGCGUCCAUGAAGCUGGACGGGGGACCGUGUCAGGCAGGCAGUUUGACUGGGGCGGUCGCCUCCCAAAGAGUAACGGAGGCGCCCAAAGGUACGCUCAGAUUGGACGGAAAUCAAUCGGCGAGUGCAAAUGCAGAAGCGUGCUUGACUGUGAGACAAACAGGUCGAACAGGGACGAAAGUCGGGAUUAGUGAUCCGGCGGUGCCGAAUGGAAGGGCCGUCGCUCAACGGAUAAAAGCUACCCUGGGGAUAACAGGCUGAUCUCGCCCAAGAGUUCACAUCGACGGCGAGGUUUGGCACCUCGAUGUCGGCUCAUCGCAUCCUGGAGCUGAAUUCGGUUCCAAGGGUUGGGCUGUCCGCCCAUUAAAGCGGUACGCGAGCUGGGUUCAGAACGUCGUGAGACAGUUCGGUCCCUAUCUGUUGUGGGCGUAGGAGAUUUGAGGAGAGCUGUCCUUAGUACGAGAGGACCGGGAUGGACCUACCGCUGGUGCACCGGUUGUUGUGCCAACAGCAUAGCCGGGUAGCUAAGUAGGGAAGGGAUAAGCGCUGAAAGCAUCUAAGCGCGAAGCCUACUCCAAGAUGAGAUCUCCCAUACGCAAGUAGUAAGACCCCUUGA
This 2800-nucleotide ribosomal RNA is filed under the name human gut metagenome. RNAcentral's name for it is "bacterial LSU rRNA". It matches the Rfam family "Bacterial large subunit ribosomal RNA". The record is from RNAcentral.